RNAcentral lists this ribosomal RNA (253 nucleotides) under uncultured bacterium. RNAcentral's name for it is "partial 16S ribosomal RNA". It matches the Rfam family "Bacterial small subunit ribosomal RNA", at positions 524 to 776 of the family's 1533-position model. The record is from RNAcentral.
UACGUAGGGGGCAAGCGUUGUCCGGAUUUAUUGGGCGUAAAGCGCUCGCAGGUGGUUCGUUGCGUCGUGCGUGAAAGACCCCGGCUCAACUGGGGAGGGUCGUGCGAUACGGGCGGACUGGAGGCCAGUAGGGGGAUGCGGAAUUCCGGGUGUAGUGGUGGAAUGCGUAGAGAUCCGGAGGAACCCCAGAGGCGAAGGCGGCGCUCUGGCUCGCAACUGACGCUCAGACACGACAGCAUGGGGAGCGAACGGG